AGGCCCUAGGGUUGUAAAGCAUGGAGGGGGGAGGAAAGGUGUGUAAUUAAUACUUACAUACUGUGACGUUAGCGACAGAAGAAGGACCGGCUAACUCCGUGCCAGCAGCCGCGGUAAUACGGAGGGUCCGAGCGUUAAUCGGAAUUACUGGGCGUAAAGCGCGCGUAGGUGGAUUGGUCAGUCAGAUGUGAAAGCCCAGGGCUCAACCUUGGAACUGCACCUGAUACUGCCAGUCUAGAAUACGGUAGAGGGUAGUGGAAUUUCCUGUGUAGCGGUGAAAUGCGUAGAUAUAGGAAGGAACACCAGUGGCGAAGGCGACUACCUGGACCGAUAU
RNAcentral lists this ribosomal RNA (334 nucleotides) under uncultured bacterium. RNAcentral describes it as "bacterial SSU rRNA". It matches the Rfam family "Bacterial small subunit ribosomal RNA", at positions 412 to 740 of the family's 1533-position model. The record is from RNAcentral.